GACGGUAUACUCUGGCCCACAGAGCCUUUUUGGACUUCUAGCCUUCAAACUAGUUCUUCUUCUCAACCAAGAGUCUCAGAAGCUUCACCUUUCUUCCUUCCAGCUGUUCAGAUAUAUAUCUUGCGCUCUUCCAAAAAUCUGUUGGCGUAAGAGAUAGGAUAGUUACUAUCAGAGCGUCACUCUGGAGCCUGUCCACCUGGCCUUGAGCUUAGUCCUGUUUUACUGACAGUGUGACGUUGGUCAAGUUACUUGAUAUGAUGGCCAAUCCCAGUUGUCAACUUGAUGAGAUCUAGAGUCACUUUGAAGAAUGGCUUCUAGGCAUAGCUGUUGAGUAUUGUGUGACUUGAGGUGUGAAGACCUGCCCACUGUGUGUAGCACCACUCCCUGGAUGGGGAUACUGGAUUGAAGAAGUAGAAGGACCAAGUCAAGAAGGAACAUACAUUUGACAUUUUCUGCUUUCUGACUGUGAAUUGAAUGUGACCAGCUG
RNAcentral lists this long non-coding RNA (487 nucleotides) under Mus caroli (Ryukyu mouse). Its description in RNAcentral is "lncRNA (MGP_CAROLIEiJ_G0006279.1)". Lineage: Eukaryota; Metazoa; Chordata; Mammalia; Rodentia; Muridae. The record is from RNAcentral.